RNAcentral lists this ribosomal RNA (460 nucleotides) under uncultured bacterium. RNAcentral describes it as "partial 16S ribosomal RNA". It matches the Rfam family "Bacterial small subunit ribosomal RNA", at positions 338 to 795 of the family's 1533-position model. The record is from RNAcentral.
CCUACGGGAGGCUGCAGUGAGGAAUAUUGGUCAAUGGACGCAAGUCUGAACCAGCCAUGCCGCGUGCAGGAAGACGGCUCUAUGAGUUGUAAACUGCUUUUGUACGAGGGUAAACGCAGAUACGCGUAUCUGUCUGAAAGUAUCGUACGAAUAAGCAUCGGCGAACUCCGUGCCAGCCGCCGCGGUAAUACGGAGGAUUCAAGCGUUAUCCGGAUUUAUUGGGUUUAAAGGGUGCGUAGGCGGUCGGAUAAGUUAGAGGUGAAAUCCCGAGGCUCAACUUCGGAAUUGCCUCUGAUACUGUUCGGCUAGAGAGUAGAUGCGGUAGGCGGAAUGUAUGGUGUAGCGGUGAAAUGCUUAGAGAUCAUACAGAACACCGAUUGCGAAGGCAGCUUACCAAGCUACUUCUGACGUUGAGGCACGAAAGCGUGGGGAGCAAACAGGAUUAGAUACCCGGGUAGUC